GAUGUAAUUAUCUCUUACACAAAUGGGGUUUCUCAGAAACAUCUGCUUGCACUUGCGAAGUGGAACAAACAGUAAAGCACAUAGUGCAGGAGUGCCCUCAAACAAAAUUUUGAAGGAGAAAUUGAAAACGUUCAUAGAUGCAAUGGACUGGAUGCGCGAGCUGAAUGUACGUAUAUAGUCCCCUGUUCCAUCAACAUCUCACUGCCUAUCCCUGUUUUCAUCUCAAGAUAUUUUACAUCACUCAUUUGUAUUUU
Non-coding RNA from Cinara cedri, 254 nucleotides. Lineage: Eukaryota; Metazoa; Arthropoda; Insecta; Hemiptera; Aphididae. The record is from the annotation of a GenBank genome assembly.